RNAcentral lists this ribosomal RNA (896 nucleotides) under Xylophallus xylogenus. RNAcentral describes it as "eukaryotic LSU rRNA". It matches the Rfam family "Eukaryotic large subunit ribosomal RNA", at positions 72 to 939 of the family's 3401-position model. Lineage: Eukaryota; Fungi; Basidiomycota; Agaricomycetes; Phallales; Phallaceae. The record is from RNAcentral.
GGAUUCCCCUAGUAACGGCGAGUGAAGCGGGAAGAGCUCAAAUUUGUAAUCUGGCGGUCUGACGGCCGUCCGAGUUGUAAUCUGGAGAAGCGUUUUCAGUGCCGGCCCGCGUACAAGUCCCCUGGAACGGGGCGUCGUAGAGGGUGAGAAUCCCGUCUCUGACGUGGCACGCCGGUACGUUGCGAUGCGCUCUCGAAGAGUCGAGUUGUUUGGGAAUGCAGCUCAAAACGGGUGGUAAAUUCCAUCUAAAGCUAAAUACUGGCGAAAGACCGAUAGCGAACAAGUACCGUGAGGGAAAGAUGAAAAGCACUUUGGAAAGAGAGUCAAACAGUACGUGAAAUUGUUGAAAGGGAAACGCUUGAAGUCAGUCGCGUCUCCCGGGACUCAGUCGGUGUCCGACCGACGUAUUUCCUGGGUUCGGACGGGCCAGCAUCGAUUCGGACCGUCGUAAAAAGUCGAGGGGAACGUGACACCUUCGGGUGUGUUAUAGCCCCCUGUUCUGUAUGCGAACGGUCCGGAUCGAGGAACGCAGCGCGCCCUCGCGGCCGGGGUUCUAACCCACGUCACGCGCUUAGGAUGCUGGCUUAAUGGCUUCAAGCGACCCGUCUUGAAACACGGACCAAGGAGUCUAACAUGCUCGCGAGUGUUCGGGUGGAAAACCCGUGCGCGUAAUGAAAGUGAAAGGUUGGGACCCUUCUUUCGAGGAAGGGGCACCGACGCCCGGACUUGAGCUGCUGCGACGGUUCCGAGGCGGAGCGAGUAUGUUGGGACCCGAAAGAUGGUGAACUAUGCCUGAGUAGGGCGAAGCCAGAGGAAACUCUGGUGGGAGGCUCGUAGCGAUUCUGACGUGCAAAUCGAUCGUCGAACUUGGGUAUAGGGGCGAAAGACUAAUCGAA